UUGACAAGGUGACUGGGUCAAGGUGACAGCACGCUGGCCUUUGGUCAUUUUUUAUGACAUUGUGGGUGUGUCAGCCUACAAUGCGUUAGUCAUCUGGACUGAGAUCUUCCCAGAUUGGAAAGCUUCCAAGCUGUUCAAGAGACGGCUCUUCCUCGAGGAGCUUGGGAGAGCACUUGUGACACCCCACAUUGAGAGAAGGCAGCACCUGCCAAGAAGCCAAGCCGCUGUAGUCAUGGUGAGGAGGAUCCAGGAGGAAAAUGCACCUACCCCACCUGUGCCCAAGGUUGCUGCUGCGGGAAAAAAGAGGAAGAGGUGCCAAGUCUGCAAGCCCAGUGAUGACAGCAAGACUAGCAUCACAUGCUUCAAGUGCAAAACAUUAAUGUGGUGACAUACUGCCACUCAUGUGCUUCAUAGACACACACACACACAAACAAAAUGUUCUCUCCUUCUUGUUCAGGUUUCCUGUUGUAAACAUUGUAAACAUUGUUAAAAAUUAAAUGUAGUUUUAAGAUGUAUAUUUGAAUUUAAAGGGUCAGUUUGACACCUAACAGAAGAGAUGUGUUGUUUGAAUUAUACAACAUGCCCCCAUAACAGAAACUAUUUAAAAAAUGUUUAAAAAAAUAAGAAUGUGUUGAAACAAA
Molecule: long non-coding RNA, 641 nt
Organism: Conger conger (European conger)
Lineage: Eukaryota; Metazoa; Chordata; Actinopteri; Anguilliformes; Congridae
Exons: 2
Source: RefSeq, a predicted model, not a curated record